RNAcentral lists this ribosomal RNA (471 nucleotides) under uncultured bacterium. Its description in RNAcentral is "bacterial SSU rRNA". It matches the Rfam family "Bacterial small subunit ribosomal RNA", at positions 33 to 507 of the family's 1533-position model. The record is from RNAcentral.
GACGACGCUGGCGGCGCGCCUAACACAUGCAAGUCGAGCGGAGAUAUACGAAGAGUAAUCCGAGUAUAUCUUAGCGGCGGACGGGUGAGUAACGCGUGAGUGACCUGCCUCUUACAGGGGAAUAACGUGCCGAAAGGCACACUAAUACCGCAUAAGACCACGAAACCGCAUGGUUAUGAGGUCAAAGGAGCAAUCCGGUAAGAGAUGGGCUCGCGUCCGAUUAGAUAGUUGGUGAGGUAACGGCCCACCAAGUCGACGAUCGGUAGCCGACCUGAGAGGGUGAUCGGCCACAUUGGAACUGAGAGACGGUCCAAACUCCUACGGGAGGCAGCAGUGGGGAAUAUUGGGCAAUGGGGGAAACCCUGACCCAGCGACGCCGCGUGAGGGAAGAAGGUUUUCGGAUUGUAAACCUCUGUUCUUGGUGAAGAGGGGAAGACGGUAGCCAAGGAGGAAGCCCCGGCUAACUACGUG